GAACGUUGGCGGCGUGGAUUAGGCAUGCAAGUCGAGCGAGAAAUUUACUUCGGUAAAUGGACAGCGGCGAAAGGGACAGUAAUGUGUAGGUACCUACCCUCUGAUCUGGGAUAGCUGCGGGAAACUGCAGGUAAUACCGGAUAAUGUCUUCGGACCAAAGGUGUGAUUCCGUCUGAGGAGGGGCCUGCAUCCUAUUAGCUUGUUGGUGAGGUAAUGGCUCACCAAGGCAACGAUGGGUAGCGGGUGUGAGAGCAUGACCCGCGUCAUUGGGACUGAGACACUGCCCAGACAUCUACGGAUGGCUGCAGUCGAGAAUCUUCGGCAAUGGGCGAAAGCCUGACCGAGCGACGCCGCGUGCGGGAUGAAGGCCCUCGGGUUGUAAACCGCUGUCGUUGGGGAGGAAAUGCAGGAGGGCUAUCCCUCUGUUUGACCGAUCCAAGGAGGAAGUACGGGCUAA
This 457-nucleotide ribosomal RNA is filed under the name uncultured Planctomycetales bacterium. RNAcentral describes it as "bacterial SSU rRNA". It matches the Rfam family "Bacterial small subunit ribosomal RNA", at positions 31 to 500 of the family's 1533-position model. The record is from RNAcentral. Lineage: Bacteria; Pseudomonadati; Planctomycetota; Planctomycetia; Planctomycetales.